UAUACGAAGACGCGUGACCAGUGUGGUAUUUCUCUUUGUAUCAGGAGCAGGAAGGCAACACCUUAAAGCAGCAGAUGAGGUGAUUUGUGUUCAGGGUCAAUGAAGAGGAGAGAGUAUAGCUGGAUGAAUGCCGCAAGCGAGAAAGAAAGUAGUUGCUGGGUUUCACCAGCACCAUCUUAAUCAGAGGAUCAAGGCUCAAAGGUUGAAUCGGAAGUCCUGAAGUCGAGGCCCAUUGGCUGGAGCCCUGCGUAUACAAGUAUCUGCAAGUCCACCGGGGAAGUCGAAGCCCAAUGUCUGUGAGCCCAAGUCCAAGUACGAGUCAGCUGAAGGUCG
This is a long non-coding RNA of Mobula hypostoma (lesser devil ray), 333 nucleotides long. RefSeq lists it as uncharacterized. Lineage: Eukaryota; Metazoa; Chordata; Chondrichthyes; Myliobatiformes; Myliobatidae. The record is from RefSeq and is a predicted model, not a curated record. The transcript is spliced from 3 exons.